UGACUUGCCCUAUUUUAAGCAUUUUUAAUUACCAGCACUUUUCAUCCUUGCCUGAAAAAAUUACCAACCUUUUUACGCGAUGGUGCAUAUGGGUGAUACACCCCCGGUUACUCAGUUGGUCACUUGUCCAAGUGGCUACUAGCUCUGUUCAUAAUCUUAGACCAUCGAAACUUUAUUUUUAUGCUUGAAAAGUCACCAACCUUUUUACGCGACGGUGCACAUGGGUAAUACACCUCCGGUUACUCAGUUGGUCACUUGUCCAAGUGACUAUUAGCUCAGUUCAUAGCCUUAGAUCAUAGGAACAGGUUGUGCUUUUUGAUUUGCUGAGUUUUUCUUUUUCUUUUUCAUUUUUAUAUCAAUUUGGGCAAAUCAACUCAAAGAGAAUUACACUAACUUUUAUUGCAUGUAUUUUAUUUUCCUUUCCUAUUGGCCACAGCAGUUUCAAGAACUCAAUUCAAGAAGAAAAACUUCCUAAGUAAAGGCUACACACUGUGCAUGGUUCAAUUUAGGUUUAAAGGGUUGGAUAAUCAAUGGGGUCAUGAGAUAGGAAGCUCUUUUAACCUUGUUAUCUAUGCUGAGUAGAGCAAAAGCUAAGUCAAAAUUCUGUGUGUGUGUGUGAAGAAAAAAAAAUGUGUGAAAAAAGAAAAAAUUUUGGUGUGUGUUUAUGGGGCAAAAAGAUGCAAAAUGAAACAAAAAAGAAAGCAAAAAUAUAAUGUAAUCAAUGCAAAAAUAUAACCCAGCAGUAAAUACCCCCAC
This 756-nucleotide long non-coding RNA is filed under the name Manihot esculenta (cassava). RNAcentral describes it as "long non-coding RNA (MESC_LNC005638)". Lineage: Eukaryota; Viridiplantae; Streptophyta; Magnoliopsida; Malpighiales; Euphorbiaceae. The record is from RNAcentral.